GUGACAUGUUUGCUCGACAGAUGGCAGUGUGAAGAAGAAAGGGGCAUGGGCAGGUCAUGACAGCAUCGCCGGUGAACUGUUAGUUGGAAGCAACCAUGUCGUCGGAAUCUGCCCCCGAGCAGUCGCACUCUGCGCAGUAGAGACCCCUGGGGAGACAAGAAGAGGCCACAGAGAACACAACCACUCCCAAGAACUGUGACCUCCAAAGACGGUAUGAGCUCAAUGAUGACUUCAGGGGAAAAUCGUGGUCGAUUCCGAUCCAAGUUGACAGACACAUUGAAACUGAAACUUAUAGCACAACAUCCACGCAAUGCAAACCAUAAGAAAACAACAGCAGCAGCAGCUAAGCCUGUUGUUCCAAAGCCAACUGUGAAGAAGAAAACUCCCCCUAAACCACCCGUGCUGGUGACUCAGGUGAAAACAGAUGUGACAAUUCCUAGCGUGGCACCAGUGAAUCCUGUCAAUGGAUUAUCGGUUGUGAAUAAUCACCAUUUACCCAAGUCUCACACACUGUACAUUAGUAACCUACCCGUGGAUAUUACCAAGGAGCAACUCGAGGAACAUUUCAGAAAAACAGGAGGUGUGAAGAGUACACGUAUUCCAAAGGAGAAGGGAACGGAGAAGGGACGUGGCUAUGCUUACAUGGAGUUUAAGGACAGAAUAAGCCAUGGGAUUGCUCUUCGUCUACACCAGACCAAGUUAGCAGGUCAGAGAAUUAAUGUGGAAUUCACACCAUUAGCAGGGAAGAAGAAAGAUAAACUAAAGCGAAGACUGCAAGCCCUUGCUCGACCUAAAGCAUCACCUGAGAAAACAUGAUCAUCAACACUGCUGCUCAUCAUUUACAUCAUUGCUAUUUGCUCUCUGAAAUCAUCAUCUCAACCAGAUGCCUUCAGUGAAGAAUCUGGGUAGCUGUCUGUCAGUGUUUAUGUUGUUAUGGUUUGAUCACAUUUCACUUCAUUUGUUACAAACAGGUUAGUUUGUGCAAGAAUCAUUUAGUUGUUGAUUUUUAUGCUACAGAUCAGUAGAUGGAAAUCUAGACAAUGCAGACAAUCCAAUAGAAUCCUACCUCAUUUGAGGAGGUACUGACUGCAGUCUUCUGCUUUUGUUAUGAUCCCAUUCUGUCAAUAUCUCAUUAAUGCGGCACUCAGCCAAGCCAAUAUCCAUGGGAGAUAACUGAGUUGGAAUUGAAUUACCUCCCUUUGGUCGCAGCGCAUGAGUGACAGACAGCUACACAGGUGGGUUUCAUGCAGUCAUGUUGGGUAAUUCAUUUGUCCCAUAGAAUUGUAUAUGCCCUGAUAUUUUGUAAAUAUCAGCUUUACUGUAAAUAUCAUUUAGUGUCUUUAUAAAAUAUUUGACAUUUAUGGUCGCCGAGCCUGGGUAGGAAAUAUCCAUAUUUUGCAACAGUCAUUGAUGUUGUCAGUUUCUACUACAGUAGAUCUAAACGUUAGAGCAAUCUCACUGAAAUCAGAUCCUUUAUUCUCCGUGUGAAGAUCUAAUGACCUCUCAUUACUACUGGAAGGUUGCAUUAGGGGAAAACCAAGCAAAUAUUUACAACAAAAUCUAUGAGAUGAUAACAUGUGUUUAUGAAACGAUCAGAUUUCAACCUUGUGAAAAAGUUUGACAAUUUUUAACACUUAAUUGAAUCAAAGAAACCGACAAAAAAACACAAGUUCCUUUCAAGAUACAGAAUUUGUAUGUACACUUGUCUGAAUACUUUGCUCACUAAUGAUAAGACUCAUGAUUCACCUCUAAGCAGUGCUUAAGUGUCUGAUUAGAGAAAUCUCCUGAAGCAGCUUCCUGUCAAAUUGUUCAUGCAGAGAUCCUCAGGUUCAUGCAGAGAUCCUCAGAGUUCAUGCAGAGAUCUGCAUACAGUGAUGAAAGAUCUGAUUUUAAGGGGAUUGAAAUUAUGUGUGCGUUUUCAGUCUUGCUUUUGUUUCAGUGCUUUCACAAAGCUUAGACCAAAUACUGUGUUUUAUAUGAACGGGAUAGUUUUGGAAAUUAAGUUUAUGUUUUAGUUGAAUACUAGAAACCUUGAUUUCAAAAUAAUUGAUGUUAUGUGUGUUAUUAAUUUAUAUCCUGUUGUUUGUUGCAAAGAUAUUUAAGAGCUAAGACUAGUUUUGAUUGUGUUUAAACUAUCAAUACAAAUCUGAUGUGUUAAGAUUUAUGAAAAACUCACUAUUUAUAUACCUGCUUUAUAUCAUGCUGUAAAUUGCCAUUUCUGUGUAAAUAAUAAAACAGACUAUUUAUGAAAUUGUCCAUCGUAGAUCAUCUAUUUUGAUGUUAUUCUCAUGCUUUCUAGUGUUUGACAGUGUAGUUCUUAGGUAAUCCAGUUUGACAAUCUUUCAUGAUCCAUUUAGAAGGUUACUCAGGUUUAGGGUAGAAAUAUAAUGAAGAAAAUGUAUAAUGUUUGAAGCUGAAUGUUCUAUAGAAAACAUAUCAAAGCUAACUUUAACUGUGUCAAUUCUGUUUAGGAAACUACUGAACUUCAGUCCUAAUAGUAUGUGUUUAGUUUCUCGAACAGACCUUUCAGAAAGAUAUGUUCAUAUAAAUAUUAAUUAUGGGCUUUUUCUAAUGUUAUGACAUUCAUAUUGUUUUAAGGACAUGCCUACUUAAGCAAAGUAUGGAAUUUUAUGCAGCAUUUGGUCUAUCUCUGAGUUUUCAAGCUGUCAACUUGAGUGGGAUGUCUUCAGUCAACAGUUCCAGAAAGUUAUGCCUUACCUUAUCACACAGGUCUGGACCAGGGGCUCCUUUCACGCAGCAGCCUUUACUAAGGUUAACCUUAGCUCGCAUUCUUUAACAUUGCACCAAGGUUACCCUAGUGACUUACAAUCACCUUAGUGCAUUGUGAAAGUAGGCCCUGAACACUAAGAAAUCCUUUGGAUUGAAACUGUGAGGAGAAUACAGUGCUGGUAUUUGAAGAUGCAUGCACAAAGACAAGUAGUAUUCUAACGCACCACUGCAAAUUGUUAUGCAGAGUUCCUUCCCUUAGGUAUCCAUGGAUCCAAUGCAUGUGGGUUCAGAUUUGAAAUUUGCCUUGUUUUUUAUUGUUUGAUUUACAUGUGCUUGUAGGUUUCCAAAAAGUGUUUGAGGUCUGAGACCUCAUUGAGGUCUCCUCCAUAAGGUUGACAAAGGUGAUAUAAAGAAAUGUGGGAAGUGGUUAUUGGGUAUUUAUCGACUCAUCAGAUCAAGGAACCAUCUGUUGUCCAUCCAUGUGUCUGAAAUACAGGUCAGAUUAGAUUCAAUACUUAUGUGGAAUAAUUCUCAACUGAACAGCCAGCCACAAACCAUAAGCCUGUAGCAUCUGCACAGAUGGAGCCAUGCCAUAUCAGGAACUACACCAGUCCGAGUCCUUUAACCUACUGUGUCCCCAUCCACAAAA
RNA transcript from Haliotis rubra (blacklip abalone), 3379 nucleotides. It is a transcript of the gene named nucleolar protein 12-like, with no coding region annotated. The transcript is spliced from 6 exons. NCBI's taxonomy places the organism in Eukaryota, Metazoa, Mollusca, Gastropoda, Lepetellida, Haliotidae. The record is from RefSeq and is a predicted model, not a curated record.